Molecule: non-coding RNA, 1837 nt
Organism: Dermacentor andersoni
Lineage: Eukaryota; Metazoa; Arthropoda; Arachnida; Ixodida; Ixodidae
Source: RefSeq, a predicted model, not a curated record
UAAUUUAUUUCUUUACACUUGAAUGCUAAAAUGCUAGAACUUGGUUAAAGCUAAUUGCCUUUGUGCGUAAUUUUGGCCGUUAACCACUUUUGCACGUGUCGCCUUCUCAAGGUAUUUUUGUAAGUAUUACACAAGUAAUUUACGUUUUUCAACAGAUGGCCUCUUGCAAAGCCUCGUACGUCUACUACUGUUGUGUAUCGUGGUACACAAGCAAGGGAAGAACGCGAAAGAAGCCCGGAACACACUUUUUUCGAAUCCCACGGGACCACAGGUUUGCUGCGUUAUAAGAGACCAGCUCAGUGUAUCUCCUGAUUUAAAUGGGGAAAUUUAGCCUUUUGAAGUACUUUCGCAUGGUUAUAACCUUCAUUGCGCCGUUGAGAGGCAUUACGAAUCAGUUUGGGAGUCUUCAAUGCGGUGUGCAUUUGAUUCUUGCAGCAAAUGCAUUUUCUUUUUUUGUGGUAUGAGCAGUAUAACCCUUGCACAUGUCACAUGUUGUGCCUCUUUGUCGGCAUUUUUUGUCUUUAAGGAAAAUUUGCAAUAUGAAUAUUGUAUCGCUCCGAGCUAGACAUGGUACAGAGCCCUACAUCUGUUCGGUAAUUACAAAAGCAGUGCACACUUUUUUUUUUCAGAGUAAUGUAUCGUUCCUUAAAUGCCUGGUGCAUCAUGCAUGUACGCACUCGUGUUGGGCUGUCAUGAAAUAUUGAAUGCUUAUUUUUUGGACGAUGCAGCGCACUGUUUUUAAAAUGCGCGCAGGUCGACGGUAUGUGUGGCAUACACCCGAAGGGCUGACCUUGUGCAAAACACAGUCAAAUCUAUCGUAUACAGCAUACAGGAUUUGCAGUGACCAUUGUAUUGCGCAAGACUUCAUGGACCCAGGGCGCAUACGGCUCACUAAAACGCCCGUGCCAACAGGUAAUUUAGGUACGCAAUGGAACAGUUGCAGCAUUAGCACUAUCUUAGUGCACCUUCGCCGUGCAUAACGUAUGUGUCAAUGUCUUCAUAAAAUAGUUUGCAAUAGCAGUUUUUGUAGCAUUUAUUGCAGCAUUAACCAGCAUCACGUGGGCAUUCAUUUCUAUUUAAAUAUUGCAUAUUCUGCUCGUGUGGCACCUGUCGAAGGUUUUGUAUUUAAUUCACUUGGAAACAAUGCACCAGAGGACUAUCCGGUAGAAGCUUUAUGCAUCAGCGUGUAGUCUGAUGGCCCUCCCGUGCAAGGUGCUAGCAGUACCCAGUGUUUGCUAAUGGCAACCUCACUAACACGCGAAUUUUAAAAUUCAUUCGGGUUACGCCUAUCCUGUAACUGAGGAGCAAGCUGGCGAAGGUGUCCUGCAGGAGGACGAGAAGGGCUUCAUCAUGACGGUGAGCUGUGUUGCCGAAGGCGAGUUUGGCAUCAAGCUUUGCUUAACAAAUUGGCAAUGUCGAGUCAUUUUCCAGGAAACCUACCAGGCUAAGUUGCUACCGUGAGCGAGCUAGAUGCUACAGACUCCCAAAUGGACAUCUCUUGCAGCAGUUCGACUGGGGUUGAGCGUUGUGCUGUUCAUGUUGAUGCGUCCAUGGUCUCCGCAAGUGCCAGCAGCUUUCCCUAUUCAGCCUGGAGCUUAGUAGGAGGCUUCCCUGUUGCUUGCAACAGUGCAGCAAAGGGUUCUCCGUUGAAGAAAUUUAGGAGGACCAUCCGACUACUGCAGUCUAAGGUAGCAAGCUGCUAGCGGACUAUCUCACGGUUGCGGAAGAACCAGUGCAAGUUACCACCGUCCAUUUCAAUGGCACUAGGCAUUAUACAUCCACAUGUGACAGAAGAGGUUUAUAAACUGCUGUCUACACACGUGCAGUUGCAGCAGAG